AUUGAACGCUGGCGGCAUGCUUUACACAUGUAAGUCGAACGGUAACAGGGUGCUUGCACCGCUGACGAGUGGCGAACGGGUGAGUAAUGCGUCGGAACGUGCCGAGUAGUGGGGGAUAACGCAGCGAAAGUUGUGCUAAUACCGCAUACGUACUGAGGUAGAAAGUGGGGGACCUUCGGGCCUCACGCUAUUCGAGCGGCCGACGUCUGAUUAGCUAGUAGGUGAGGUAAAGGCUCACCUAGGCGACGAUCAGUAGCGGGUCUGAGAGGAUGGUCCGCCACACUGGGACUGAGACACGGCCCAGACUCCUACGGGAGGCAGCAGUGGGGAAUUUUGGACAAUGGGCGAAAGCCUGAUCCAGCCAUGCCGCGUGUCUGAAGAAGGCCUUCGGGUUGUAAAGGACUUUUGUCAGGGAGGAAAUCCCUAGUGCUAAUAACACUGGGGGAUGACAGUACCUGAAGAAUAAGCACCGGCUAACUACGUGCCAGCAGCCGCCGUAA
Molecule: ribosomal RNA, 500 nt
Filed under: uncultured bacterium
Lineage: Bacteria
Description: partial 16S ribosomal RNA
Rfam family: Bacterial small subunit ribosomal RNA
Source: RNAcentral